Hemicordylus capensis (graceful crag lizard) is the source of this 1582-nucleotide long non-coding RNA. RefSeq lists it as uncharacterized. NCBI's taxonomy places the organism in Eukaryota, Metazoa, Chordata, Lepidosauria, Squamata, Cordylidae. The record is from RefSeq and is a predicted model, not a curated record. The transcript is spliced from 4 exons.
GCCUGAACUCGAGUAGGCCCCAAGCAAGGAAGGAAGGAAGGAGGAAGCAGGCAGCAGACCCUCUGCCCAGACCAGACCAUCCAGAACAGCCAUUGCUAGGAAAAACAGACAAAAGAGUGCCUUCACGUCAUUGUCAAGUAUUAACAAUACAGUUUGCAGCAUGUAGAACCUACAACCUAUUGAAAAAUAACUGUGUAUGGAACAUGAAGGCAAGAUAUAUAAGAGAUCUGACAGACUUGGACCAUUUCCCUCACAGAAGCUCUGCCUUCAUCUCAGCUAUGCUUUGAGCAAUGCCCACUUUACCAAUGGUCCAAAAUUCUUAAUCAUGUGCCAUUUUUAAAGCUGGAAUUUAAAAAAUCUUUAAUCUCUUUAAGAGUUUCAUUCCUUCAUUGGAUGCAGAAGAUUAUUAUUCAGGCUUAGAAUUCUUAGAAGUGGCUUGCCAUGAAGUAAGAUAAAAUAAAAUCUUCUCAAUUCCUAUCUUCAAAGUUUGAUUUGAUUCAAGAGAUAUGAAAGCUACACUCAUUUAAUGGGAAGAGAUCUCAGGGACAAUGUCUCCGUCAGAAGAAGAGAAGAUUGCUUCUCAAGGAUGCCUCCUGGCAAUUGCUUGCUGAUGGGCUGACAUAAACUUGAGAGUUUGGACAAUGAUCUAAUCUGACGAGUUAUCAUCCUGGGCCUUUAUGGCAAGAUCAUAUAUGGCUAUUACUGCCACCAAAACCCACAUAUCUGCUGGCAACAAAAACCUGCACCUAGGCCAUGUCAGUACUGAAUGCUUGCUGCACACUGGAACAUACUUUAGAAAGCAGCUACAAAUUAGAAAGCAUACUUUAGAAAGCAGCUACAACCAGAAGUAUGUCUAUGAGGAUCAUGCAGCUGCAAUUGACCCUAGAGAGUGAAGAAAAUAAGAGGAUCGGCACUUUGGUUUAGGACCAUUGAUGAAUGCUGUUAUGACUGUAUACAUUCCAACCCAUGGAAUGUGGGUUAACUUGCAGUUCUGAAAUGCUCGAAAUAUUUUGUGCAUCUCAAAGAGUUAACGGCAGAGUUUUCCAUUGCAGACUGCAAUGGAAUUGUUAAUACUUGAAGAUACUAAGGUGGCAUGCUUCAAUCAGUUAUUAACUGUUCAUGUGGAUGCUUACUAUCUGAUCGUGGGGCUGACUUCCCCUGAUAAUGCAAACCUUCAGUGUGUUCACAUGAUCAUAAAACAUUCACAUUCAAGGCAUUGAAAUGUGGACAACAACAGAAGCCUUGAUGACAGGAAACUGUUGCAUAUUUGUUUAUUUAACAUAUUUAUACACUGCCCAAACUUAUGUCUGUGGGCAGUUUAUAACAAAACAGUACAAAUUAACAGUACAAAUAUAACAGUUUAUAACAAAACAGUACAAAACAAAACAAUACAAAUUAACACAAAAUUAAUUUUUUAAAACAUUAACAUAAUUUAAAAUGUAACAAUAUUAAAAACUGUAAAUCUAAUUAAAAGCUUGGGUGAACAAAUGUGUCUUAAUUGCCUUUUUAAAAGUGGUCAGAGAUGGAGAGGCUCUUAUUUCAGCAGGGAGCUACUUCAAAGCUUCAGAGCAGCAACAGAGAA